AACGAACGCUGGCGGCAUGCCUAACACAUGCAAGUCGAACGAGAACAUCGGGCCUGGUGGCGACGGGGUGCGUACGGGGUGGGAACCUGCCCGUAGGUUCGGAAUAACUGCCCGUAAGGGGUGCUAAUACCGGAUAAUGUCUUCGGACCAAAGAUUUAUAGCCUUUGGAUGGGCAAGCGUUGGAUUAGCUAGUUGGUAGGGUAAAAGCCUACCAAGGCGAGGAGCGAUAGCUUGUCUGAGAGGAUGAUCAGCCACACUGGGACGAGGACACGGCCCGGACUCUUAGGCGAUGCGGGCGUGCCGAAUAUUGCACUGCCGGCUGCAGGCUGAACCAGUAAUGCCUCUUGAGUGCUGAUGUCCGUAGGGUUGUAGAUCUCUUUUACCCGCGAUGAUAAUGACAGUACCGGAAGAAUAAGCACCGGCUAACUCCGUG
This 433-nucleotide ribosomal RNA is filed under the name uncultured bacterium. RNAcentral's name for it is "partial 16S ribosomal RNA". It matches the Rfam family "Bacterial small subunit ribosomal RNA", at positions 29 to 507 of the family's 1533-position model. The record is from RNAcentral.